ACGCCGAUGGGCUAAUGGUUAUCAUCCUUGCCUUCCAAGCAAGCGGUGGGGGUUCGAUUCCCCCUCGGUGUA
Molecule: transfer RNA, 72 nt
Filed under: Flammulina velutipes KACC42780
Lineage: Eukaryota; Fungi; Basidiomycota; Agaricomycetes; Agaricales; Physalacriaceae
Description: tRNA-Gly (TCC) (tRNA-Gly-TCC-2-1)
Rfam family: tRNA
About the family: Transfer RNA (tRNA) molecules are approximately 80 nucleotides in length. Their secondary structure includes four short double-helical elements and three loops (D, anti-codon, and T loops). Further hydrogen bonds mediate the characteristic L-shaped molecular structure. tRNAs have two regions of fundamental functional importance: the anti-codon, which is responsible for specific mRNA codon recognition, and the 3' end, to which the tRNAs corresponding amino acid is attached (by aminoacyl-tRNA synthetases). tRNAs cope with the degeneracy of the genetic code in two manners: having more than one tRNA (with a specific anti-codon) for a particular amino acid; and 'wobble' base-pairing, i.e. permitting non-standard base-pairing at the 3rd anti-codon position.
Source: RNAcentral